RNAcentral lists this ribosomal RNA (2999 nucleotides) under Capsicum annuum. RNAcentral describes it as "bacterial LSU rRNA". It matches the Rfam family "Eukaryotic large subunit ribosomal RNA". Lineage: Eukaryota; Viridiplantae; Streptophyta; Magnoliopsida; Solanales; Solanaceae. The record is from RNAcentral.
GCCCAUUGUGCAUCUGGACUCCAGGAUGAGUUUAAGUAUAUCAGUAAGCAGAGAAAAAGAAACUUAUAAGGAUUCCCUUAGAAACAGAGAGAGAACUGGGAAUAUCCCAUCCUUAGUAUAGGGUGGCUCCAUCAUCCAAAUUGUAGACUGGAGAAGCGUCUUCAGCGGCGGACCAAGCUUAAGUCCCCUGGAAGGGAGCGCCAGAGAGGUGAGAGCCCCGUUGUACCUAAACCCUAUCACACCACAAGGUGCUAUCUAGAUUUGGGUUGUUUGGGAAUGCAGUCCAAAUCAAGCAGUGAAUUCCGUCCAAGGUUAAAUACAGGCGAGAGACCAAUAGCAAACAAGUACCACAAGGAAAAUAUAAAAAGGACUUUAAAAAAAGAGCAAAAGAGUGCUUGAAAUUGUCAGGAGAGAAGUUGAUGGAGGCCUACGAUGGACCUAAGUCAGAUGUGGAAUAGUGAUGAGGCGAUCUACCGAUCGACUUGGGGCAUGGACCAGCAUGGAUUGGGGGACGGCCAAUGUCCAGGCUCUCAAUAUGCUUGUGGAAUAACGUCUUCUUGAUUUUUGAAGAUAGCGCGCACCUCUGGCUUGCUUCAGUAUCUACGUACUCCAGAAGCUAGCCUGUGGGCUCUCCAUUUGACCCGUCUUGAUACAUGGAUCAAGGAGCCUGAAAUGUGUGCAAGUCAAUGGGUGAGUAAAACCAUAAGACAUAAGGAAGCUAAUUGGUAGGAUCCCUCUGAUGGGUGCACCACUGACCGACCUUGAUAUUCUGAGAAGUGUUCGAGAGUGAGUAUACCUGUCAGGACCUGAAAAAUGGUGAACUAUGACUGAGCGGCGCUAAACCGGAGGAAACUCUAGUGGAGGCCCGCAGUGAUACUGACGUGCAAAUUAUUCGUCUGACUUGGGUAUAGGGGAGAAAGACUAAUCAAACCGUCUAGUAGCUGGUUCCCUCCAAAGUUUCCCUCAAGAUAGCUAGAGCUCGCAUGCGAGUUCUAUCGUGUAAAGUCAAUGAUUAGAGGUCUUGGGGGCACAACUCCCUCAACCUAUUCUUAAACUUAAAAUAUGUAGGUCGGCAUGGCUGCUUUGUUGAUCCGCUUCAUAGAAUCAAGAGAUCCAAGUGGGCCAUUUUUAGUAAGCAAAACUGGCGAUGCGGGAUGAAUCAAAAGUCGGGUUACGGUGCCAAACUAUGCACUAACCUAGAUCCCACAAAGGGCGUUAGUCGAUUAAUACAGUAGUACGGUGGUCACGGAAGUCAAAAUCCAUUAAGGAGUGUAUAAUGACUUACCUGACAAAUCAACUAGCCUAAAAAAUGGAUGGCACUUAAUCGGGUGACUUACACCCGGCCGUCGAGGCAAGUUCCAGGCCCCGAUGAGUAGGAGUGUGUGGUGGUCGUUGCAAAACCUUGGGCGCAAGCUCGAGCGGAGUAGCCAUCGGUGCAGAUCUUAGUGGUAGCAGCAAAUAUUCAAAUGAGAACUUUGAAGGACGAGGAGGGGAAAGGUUCUAUGUGAAUGGCACUUGCACAUGGGUUAGUCGAUCCAAAAGGUCAGGGGAACCCUGAAAAAUAGCACGUUUCAUGCAUAUUUUGAAAGGGAAUUAGUUUAAAAUUCCUAAAUUCGGAUGUGGUGUUCGAAAACAACGUUAGGAAGUCCAGAGACAUCGGUGGGAGCAUCGGUAAGAGUUAUCUUUUCUGUUUAACAGCCUGCCCACCCUGGAAUCACUCAGCCGGAGAUAGGGUCCCACAGCUGGAAGAGCACCACACGUCACGUGGUGUCCAGUGUGCUCCCCGCGGCCUAUGACAAUCUAGAGGACCGAAUAUCGUCCAUGUCCGAUCAUACUCAUAACCACAUCAGGCCUCUAAGGUGAACAGCCUUUGGUCGAUGGAAUAAUGUAGGCAAAAAAAGUUGGAAAAAUAGAUCCGUAACUUUGGGAAAUGGAUUGGCUCUGAGGGAUGGGCAUGGGGGUCCCAGUCCCUAACUCGUUGGCUAUCGGUGGACUGCUUGAGCUGCUUCUGCAGUGAGAUCAGGUUGCCGCAGGCUAGCCAGAGAACAGACUCGGAAUAGUUCAUUCAGGGAACUUCCCUGCUCAUCGAACAACCAACUCAGAACUAGUACGAACAAGAGGAAUCUGACUGUUUAAUUAAAACAAAGCAUUGCAAUGGUCCCAAUGGAUGUUCACGCAAGGUGAUUUAUUCCUAGUGCUCUGAAUGUCAAAGUAAAGAAAUUCAACCAAGCACGGGUAAACGGCGAGAGUAACUAUGACUCCUUAAGGUAGCCAAAUCCCUCAUUAUCUAAUUAGUGACACAUAUGAAUAGAUUAACGAGAUUCCCACCAUCCCUGUUUACUAUCCUGCAAAACCACAGCCAAGGGAACGGGCUUGGCAGAAUCAACAGGAAAAGAAGACCCUAUUGAGCUUAACUCUAGUCAGACUUUGUAAAAUAACUUAAGAGGUGUAGUAUAAGUGGGAGCAAAAAGGAGAAAGUGAAAUAACACUACUUUUAAUGUUAUUUUACUUAUUUCGUAAAUCAAAAGUGGGGCACUGCCCCUCUUUUUGAACCCAAGGCUCGUACUGCGAACUGAUUCAGGCAGAAGACAUUGUCAGGUAGGAAGUUUGGCUGGGGUGGCACAUCUGUUAAAAGAUAAUACAGGUGAAUGAAGACGAGCUCAACGAGAACAAAAUUCUCUUGUGGAAUAGAAUGGUAAAAGCUCAUUUAAUUCUGAUUUCCAGUACGAAUAUGAACCAUGAAAGCAUGGCCUAACGAUCCUUUAGACCUUUGAAAUUUGAUGCUAGAGGUGUUAGAAAAGCAUGGCCUAAUGAUCCUUUAGUAUUUUCCAAGGAUGUUUUCAUUAAUCAAGAAUGAAAUUUGGGGGCUCGAACAAAAUCAGAUACCAUCCUAGUCUCAACCAUAAACAAUGUUGACCAGGGAGCGGCGGAUUUUGCUUUUAGGACUCCGCUGAUACCUUGUAAGAAAUAAAAGCUCUUGGGUUCCGGGGGAAGUAUGG